CCGGGUUGCGGACAGUGUCUGGUGGGUAGUUUGACUGGGGCGGUCUCCUCCUAAAGAGUAACGGAGGAGCACGAAGGUUGGCUAAUCCUGGUCGGACAUCAGGAGGUUAGUGCAAUGGCAUAAGCCAGCUUGACUGCGAGCGUGACGGCGCGAGCAGGUGCGAAAGCAGGUCAUAGUGAUCCGGUGGUUCUGAAUGGAAGGGCCAUCGCUCAACGGAUAAAAGGUACUCCGGGGAUAACAGGCUGAUACCGCCCAAGAGUUCAUAUCGACGGCGGUGUUUGGCACCUCGAUGUCGGCUCAUCACAUCCUGGGGCUGAAGUAGGUCCCAAGGGUAUGGCUGUUCGCCAUUUAAAGUGGUACGCGAGCUGGGUUUAGAACGUCGUGAGACAGUUCGGUCCCUAUCUGCCGUGGGCGCUGGAGAACUGAGGGGGGCUGCUCCUAGUACGAGAGGACCGGAGUGGACGCAUCACUGGUGUUCGGGUUGUCAUGCCAAUGGCACUGCCCGGUAGCUAAAUGCGGAAGAGAUAAGUGCUGAAAGCAUCUAAGCACGAAACUUGCCCCGAGAUGAGUUCUCCCUGACUCCUUGAGAGUCCUGAAGGAACGUUGAAGACGACGACGUUGAUAGGCCGGGUGUGUAAGCGCAGCGAUGCGUUGAGCUAACCGGUACUAAUGAACCGUGAGGCUUAACCUUACAACGCCGAAG
Molecule: ribosomal RNA, 703 nt
Filed under: Escherichia coli
Lineage: Bacteria; Pseudomonadati; Pseudomonadota; Gammaproteobacteria; Enterobacterales; Enterobacteriaceae
Description: partial 23S ribosomal RNA
Rfam family: Bacterial large subunit ribosomal RNA
Source: RNAcentral